AACCUAGCACACCUGCGGUGUGUACCUGCGGAGGGAUCAUUACCGAGUUUACAACUCCCAAACCCCUGUGAACAUACCAAUUGUUGCCUCGGCGGAUCAGCCCGCUCCCGGUAAAACGGGACGGCCCGCCAGAGGACCCCUAAACUCUGUUUCUAUAUGUAACUUCUGAGUAAAACCAUAAAUAAAUCAAAACUUUCAGCAAUGGAUCU
This 209-nucleotide unclassified non-coding RNA is filed under the name soil metagenome. RNAcentral describes it as "partial contains 5.8S ribosomal RNA, internal transcribed spacer 2, and large subunit ribosomal RNA". The record is from RNAcentral.